RNAcentral lists this long non-coding RNA (712 nucleotides) under Olea europaea subsp. europaea. The record is from RNAcentral. Lineage: Eukaryota; Viridiplantae; Streptophyta; Magnoliopsida; Lamiales; Oleaceae.
GCCAGAGCGAAAUACGUUCAAAUAAAUUCCUUUAUUAUCAAAUGUUCAUUACAAAACUGCGAAAUACAAGAUGUUAAAUGCUCUAUAAACUACGAUUAAGAGCAACCUACGAUUAAAAGCAAACUAAUCUCCCGGUCGAUCGCCGAGUAAGAGGGUAUACUGGCUUUGAUCGCCGUCCUGAUCGCAUUGUUGCAAAGGCAAGUAGAGAGGUCGAGAAGCACUCUCAGCAAGCAAAAAGGAAGAUGAAGAGCCCUCACAUCGCCUUCUUAAAUGCAUCGCUGCAACGACAGGCAAGGAGGCUGAGAAGCACUCUCAGCAAGCAAGGUGGCCUACAAGCACCCAAAAAAAUUGCUUUCCAUUAUUGAACUCCUUAUAAGAACGGAGACGAUGGGAAAAACUUUGCUGCUGGCCAAAGAAUAUUUCCUAUACCUCCCAUACCAAAGGUGACAUCAAGAAAGAUGGCAAAGUGGGCGGAUCAGAUGAUCCAUUUCCAUGGAAAACGAAAACUUUUGAUUGAUUGUCAAAAAUGCCAAACAAUGGUAGCAAAUUGGUUUUUUAAAGAAGAAAAUGGAAAUGAAGAUGGAAAGUAUGAAGUAUACGUGCAUUUAUAGGAAGGUGAAGGUGAAAAGACAGAAUAUAAUGUGCAUUUAUAGUGGGGUGAAGAUAAAAAGACAGAAUAUGAGCAGUCAUAUUCGUGUCUAGUAAAUGAGAU